RNAcentral lists this ribosomal RNA (497 nucleotides) under uncultured bacterium. Its description in RNAcentral is "partial 16S ribosomal RNA". It matches the Rfam family "Bacterial small subunit ribosomal RNA", at positions 28 to 507 of the family's 1533-position model. The record is from RNAcentral.
GAUGAACGCUGGCGGCGUGCCUAAUACAUGCAAGUCGAGCGAACAGACGAGGAGCUUGCUCCUCUGACGUUAGCGGCGGACGGGUGAGUAACACGUGGAUAACCUACCUAUAAGACUGGGAUAACUUCGGGAAACCGGAGCUAAUACCGGAUAAUAUAUUGAACCGCAUGGUUCAAUAGUGAAAGACGGUUUUGCUGUCACUUAUAGAUGGAUCCGCGCCGCAUUAGCUAGUUGGUAAGGUAACGGCUUACCAAGGCAACGAUGCGUAGCCGACCUGAGAGGGUGAUCGGCCACACUGGAACUGAGACACGGUCCAGACUCCUACGGGAGGCAGCAGCAGGGAAUCUUCCGCAAUGGGCGAAAGCUUGACGGAGCAACGCCGCGUGAGUGAUGAAGGUCUUCGGAUCGUAAAACUCUGUUAUUAGGGAAGAGCAAAUGUGUAAGUAACUAUGCACGUCUUGACGGUACCUAAUCAGAAAGCCACGGCUAACUACGUG